This 371-nucleotide ribosomal RNA is filed under the name uncultured organism. Its description in RNAcentral is "bacterial SSU rRNA". It matches the Rfam family "Bacterial small subunit ribosomal RNA", at positions 527 to 896 of the family's 1533-position model. The record is from RNAcentral.
CGUAGUGGCAAGCGUUGUCCGGAGUUACUGGGUGUAAAGGGCGUGUAGGCGGGUGAUCAAGUCAGAUGUGAAAUUCCAUGGCUCAACUGCGGCGCUGCAUCUGAAACUGGUCAUCUUGAGUGAUGGAGAGGAAAGCGGAAUUCCUAGUGUAGCGGUGAAAUGCGUAGAUAUUAGGAGGAACACCAGUGGCGAAGGCGGCUUUCUGGACAUUAACUGACGCUGAGGCGCGAAAGCGUGGGGAGCAAACAGGAUUAGAUACCCUGGUAGUCCACGCUGUAAACGAUGGAUACUAGGUGUAGGAGGUAUCGACCCCUUCUGUGCCGGAGUUAACACAAUAAGUAUCCCACCUGGGGAGUACGGCCGCAAGGUUG